RNAcentral lists this ribosomal RNA (465 nucleotides) under Vreelandella stevensii. RNAcentral's name for it is "partial 16S ribosomal RNA". It matches the Rfam family "Bacterial small subunit ribosomal RNA", at positions 338 to 795 of the family's 1533-position model. Lineage: Bacteria; Pseudomonadati; Pseudomonadota; Gammaproteobacteria; Oceanospirillales; Halomonadaceae. The record is from RNAcentral.
CCUACGGGCGGCAGCAGUGGGGAAUAUUGGACAAUGGGCGAAAGCCUGAUCCAGCCAUGCCGCGUGUGUGAAGAAGGCCUUCGGGUUGUAAAGCACUUUCAGUGGGGAAGAAAGCCUUGGGGCUAAUACCCUCGAGGAAGGACAUCACCCACAGAAGAAGCACCGGCUAACUCCGUACCAGCAGCCGCGGUAAUACGGAGGGUGCGAGCGUUAAUCGGAAUUACUGGGCGUAAAGCGCGCGUAGGCGGUCUGAUAAGCCGGUUGUGAAAGCCCCGGGCUCAACCUGGGAACGGCAUCCGGAACUGUCAGGCUAGAGUGCAGGAGAGGAAGGUAGAAUUCCCGGUGUAGCGGUGAAAUGCGUAGAGAUCGGGAGGAAUACCAGUGGCGAAGGCGGCCUUCUGGACUGACACUGACGCUGAGGUGCGAAAGCGUGGGUAGCAAACAGGAUUAGAUACCCCAGUAGUC